ACGGAGGGUGCGAGCGUUAAUCGGAAUGACUGGGCGUAAAGGGCACGCAGGCGGAUUGUUAAGUGAGAUGUGAAAGCCCCGGGCUUAACCUGGGAAUUGCAUUUCAGACUGGCAAUCUAGAGUAUUUUAGGGAGGGGUAGAAUUCCACGUGUAGCGGUGAAAUGCGUAGAGAUGUGGAGGAAUACCGAAGGCGAAGGCAGCCCCUUGGGAAUAUACUGACGCUCAUGUGCGAAAGCGUGGGGAGCAAACAG
Molecule: ribosomal RNA, 251 nt
Filed under: uncultured prokaryote
Description: partial 16S ribosomal RNA
Rfam family: Bacterial small subunit ribosomal RNA
Source: RNAcentral